AAAGUCGAUCUUCAAAAAGUCAAUCCCUAGUGCACUUGGAGGAUUCCUUGGAAGUCGAUGCCUGAAAGCCUAGCUCCUUGAGGGAUCGACUUUUUUUCCUUGGAAGAAAAAGUCGAUCUUCUGAAAUGUCGAUCCCUUGCUGGCUGAUUUCCUCGCAAGACUCCCUAGCUGGCGACUUGGAAAAAAGUCGAUCACUUUUUUCGAAAAAGUCGAGGAGCUUUUGUCGUGAGUAUCUUUGAGUCACAGACGGCGCCAACUGAUGGGGGUGAAACCCGACCAGUACUCCAAGACGCGCAAGCAAGCGCCAAGCGGGGAACUCCGUGGGAAACCGGACCGGAACUCAAGUGCGCAGAGCUCUGCUUCGCUAGGAAUCCUUUCGCUCCAAAUGACCUGCCUUUAAUGAGUGGGGGGUGCCCUCUAUUUAUAGGGGUUCUUAUGGGGGCAAUAUGGUCAUUUGGGCAGUAACCGCCUAACU
RNAcentral lists this long non-coding RNA (475 nucleotides) under Zostera marina. RNAcentral's name for it is "long non-coding RNA (ZMAR_LNC001232)". The record is from RNAcentral. Lineage: Eukaryota; Viridiplantae; Streptophyta; Magnoliopsida; Alismatales; Zosteraceae.